GGAGGAAUAUUGGUCAAUGGACGCAAGUCUGAACCAGCCAUGCCGCGUGAAGGAUGACGGCCCUAUGGGUUGUAAACUUCUUUUCUACGGGAAUAAACCCUUUUACGUGUAAGAGGCUGAAGGUACCGUAGGAAUAAGCACCGGCUAACUCCGUGCCAGCAGCCGCGGUAAUACGGAGGGUGCAAGCGUUAUCCGGAUUCAUUGGGUUUAAAGGGUGCGCAGGCGGAGCUUUAAGUCAGUGGUGAAAUCU
This 250-nucleotide ribosomal RNA is filed under the name uncultured bacterium. RNAcentral describes it as "partial 16S ribosomal RNA". It matches the Rfam family "Bacterial small subunit ribosomal RNA", at positions 355 to 602 of the family's 1533-position model. The record is from RNAcentral.